RNAcentral lists this ribosomal RNA (492 nucleotides) under uncultured bacterium. RNAcentral describes it as "partial 16S ribosomal RNA". It matches the Rfam family "Bacterial small subunit ribosomal RNA", at positions 29 to 507 of the family's 1533-position model. The record is from RNAcentral.
AGUGAACGCUGGCGGUAGGCCUAACACAUGCAAGUCGAACGGCAGCACAGUAAGAGCUUGCUCUUACGGGUGGCGAGUGGCGAACGGGUGAGGAAUACAGCGGAAUCUACUUUUUCGUGGGGGAUAACGUAGGGAAACUUACGCUAAUACCGCAUACGACCUACGGGUGAAAGCAGGGGAUCUUCGGACCUUGCGCGAUUGAAUGAGCCGAUGUCGGAUUAGCGAGUUGGCGGGGUAAAGGCCCACCAAGGCGACGAUCCGUAUCUGGUCUGAGAGGAUGAUCGGCCACACUGGAACUGAGACACGGUCCAGACUCCUACGGGAGGCAGCAGUGGGGAAUAUUGGACAAUGGGCGCAAGCCUGAUCCAGCCAUACCGCGUGGGUGAAGAAGGCCUUCGGGUUGUAAAGCCCUUUUGUUGGGAAAGAAAAGCAGCAGGUUAAUACCCCGCUGUUCUGACGGUACCCAAAGAAUAAGCACCGGCUAACUUCGUG